Long non-coding RNA from Anguilla rostrata (American eel), 864 nucleotides. RefSeq lists it as uncharacterized. The record is from RefSeq and is a predicted model, not a curated record. The transcript is spliced from 3 exons. NCBI's taxonomy places the organism in Eukaryota, Metazoa, Chordata, Actinopteri, Anguilliformes, Anguillidae.
CACACACACACACACGCACACCUGAGAGAGCUGGACCUGAGUUACAAUCACCCAGGAGACUCAGGAGUGAGAGUGCUGUCUGCUGCUAAACUGGACACACUCACACUGCUUGUGGACCAUGAAGGAGAGAACAGGACCAAACCAGGACCCAGGAAAUACGGCUGUCAGCUCACACUGGAUCCAAACACUGCAAACAGAAACCUGUCUCUGUCUGAGGGAACAGGAAGGUGACACACACACCGGGAAAGAGGAGCCAUAUCCUGAUCAUCCAGAGAGAUUUGAGCAGUGGCGCCAGGUUGUGUGCAGAGAGAGUGUGUGUGAGCGCUGUUACUGGGAGGCUGAGUUCAGUGUGUCUGAGGGGAGUGCAUUUUCUGUGGCCGUGACGUAUAGAGGAAUCAGCAGGAAAGGAGGAGAUUCUGACUGUGUGUUUGGAUGGAAUAAAAACUCCUGGAGUCUGGAGUUCUUUAAACACAGUUACUCAGUCUGGCACAAUAAGAACCAAACACACAUACAUGCCCCCCCCUCCCCCUAUCGUAGAGCAGAAGUGUGUGAUGAUGAUGAUGAUGAUCUUAGAGGUGUGUGUGUGUACAGGGUAGGAGUGUCUGUGGACCGUCCGGCCGGCACUCUGUCCUUCUACAGUGUCUCUGACUCUGACACACUGACCCUCCUGCACAGAUUCCACACACACUUCACUCAACACACACCACUCUGUGCUGGAUUUGGAGUGUGGAGUUCCUCAAUGUCCCUGUGCCAACUGGAGUAGAGACACACACGCGCACACACACACACACACACACACACACACAAACACACUACACACACUCUCUCUCUCACACACACACACACACCCACAAAUCCCUGGGU